UUGGUAUCAUGGCAGUGUCUGGGCAGCAGGGGAGAGCCCUGGCUCACCUUUGUGUGGCUCUCGACAUCAGGAGGAGCUCCCUAGACAGAUUACAUUCACUGUGAUUCAUGCUGCUAUUCUUCAUUUUCUUGUCCUGUACCCUUGGGACUGCUAGAAGAUUGCAAAGGGAUGAAUGAACACUGCUUGGACAAAAAGAAGUAAAUGAGGAGCUGGAACCACAGCCCCUGUCCUUAGGAAUUCACAGUCUGCUGCGUUGGGCAGGACACGUCUCAAGG
This is a long non-coding RNA of Manacus vitellinus (golden-collared manakin), 275 nucleotides long. RefSeq lists it as uncharacterized. Lineage: Eukaryota; Metazoa; Chordata; Aves; Passeriformes; Pipridae. The transcript has 4 exons. The record is from RefSeq and is a predicted model, not a curated record.